GAUGAACGCUGGCGGCGUGCCUAAUACAUGCAAGUCGAGCGAACAGACGAGGAGCUUGCUCCUCUGACGUUAGCGGCGGACGGGUGAGUAACACGUGGAUAACCUACCUAUAAGACUGGGAUAACUUCGGGAAACCGGAGCUAAUACCGGAUAAUAUAUUGAACCGCAUGGUUCAAUAGUGAAAGACGGUUUUGCUGUCACUUAUAGAUGGAUCCGCGCCGCAUUAGCUAGUUGGUAAGGUAACGGCUUACCAAGGCGACGAUGCGUAGCCGACCUGAGGGGGUGAUAGGCGACCGUGGAGCUUAGCCAGGGACGAGCAGACGACGGGAGGCACCAGGCGGGAAUGUUGCGCAAGGUGUGAAAGUCUGACGGAGUAAUGCCGCGUGAGGGAUGAAGGUCUUCGGAUCGUAACACUCUGUUAUUGAGGAAGAACAAAUGUGUAAGUAACUAUGCACGUCUUGACGGUACCUAAUCAGGAAGCCACGGCUAACUACGUG
This 497-nucleotide ribosomal RNA is filed under the name uncultured bacterium. RNAcentral describes it as "partial 16S ribosomal RNA". It matches the Rfam family "Bacterial small subunit ribosomal RNA", at positions 28 to 507 of the family's 1533-position model. The record is from RNAcentral.